GAAACUUAACCUGACUUGAAGACUGACCAGUCUGGAGUGCGUUGAGAAAACCAGAGUGCACUGAGAGAAACACAGAAACCUGAGGAUUCAUCAUCCCCAACUGCUCUGAUUGCCUUUUACUGGAUGAAGGUGUGUGAAAACAAGAGUCUUCUAUUAUAGAAGUGUGCCCUUGGCUACAGCAUUUUCCCGUGGUGGAAACAGGUCUUAUGUCUCAAUGCCAGCCCUAUGUCUUGGACUUCACAUGUGAAUUAAAACCUGAAUAAUACUGACACGAGAACUUAACACGUGGACUUUUCUCAACCUUCAUCCUCGUUGCUGUGACCAGCUGCUCAAUUGCUCUUCAAGGAAAUAGUGAUUAAUUGUGUCAGUGUGUGCAGUCGUCAGAAAGUAUAAACAAACAAUUGUUGCUAAGAGAGCUGAAAGGACACUGCUGAAUCAAUUCCGCAAGACAAAUGUGCUGAAGGACUAGUGCAGUUAAAGCAAGAUAAGUAAUUCAUUCACCACUUUCACCACUUUCUAUCAGCAGGCAAACAUUCAGACAUUUCCAGGAAAGCCAUACUUCAUCACACAUAAUAGUUACUCGGGUAAACAAGCACCAUAACUGUGAACAUCCUCCCCUUCGUCCUUCUUUUCCCUGGAUUUUAUGGCAGAGCACAAUGCCAUGUGAUAUGGAGUAUCUGUCCAAUGGGUUCAUCAGUCCUGACUGUGACCCCUCCCAGUUUCUUGUGCAUCCCCACGUUGCUGGCUGGUGGGACAGUGUGAGAAACGGAGGUCUUGGUGCUGUUCAGAUAUAGCUAAUAUGUCAGCGUGUUAUCAACACAGAUCCAAAACCAGCUGCUGUGAGGAAAAUUAACUCCAUCCCAUCUGAAACCACUACACUGCUGAGAAGUUUUUGUUUGCAUUUCCUUGCUAAUUCAGAAAGAUAAAAUCAUUUAUCAACUUGCAGUUAUUUCUGUGCAUGGGUAAUGUCUAAUCUGUUGCUUAAGGAUGUUUUAAUAACUAUGUGACAGCUGUUCAAAGUUAGUGAUAGCAGGGGAGGAAAAUGAUUAUGCGUUACCUCAAUUAUGUUGUAGUUUAGUAUGUUCUACAAAUGGUGAUAGAUGUAAAUAGCUGCUCUAUUAACUGCAAGGAGCAGUGACCCAGGCAAAGGGACAUAGGCUGAUGGCCCUUUGUGCUAUUUCUUAUUGGCAAAUGGCUCCUGUUCUGUUCAUCUUACUGUGUUUUCUAGACUCUCUUUUUAAAAGCUGCAGUUGAAUUUCAAAGGGCCUACAUUAGGAACAUAUUUCACAGACUACUUUCCCAAUUGGGAAAGUGCUUUCAAACACUGAUUCCACUAGAAAAAAUUUGGAGGAAUACAUUAUCAUGCUUCAAGCACUUAGACCCAUCUCCACAGUGAAAUGGUUGGCAUUAGCCUGGUGUAUCACCAGUUCUAAAAUAGUUUUCAGAAAGAAGACUGAAGUGAUUGGGCCAUCUGUGUAUCUAUGUGUUUUCUCUACCUCCCAGUCAUAUUUUUAAAGCAUCAGCAAAUUUCAGAUGAACUUGGCAAAGGGAUACAUAUCACCCAGAUAAUCAUAUUGCUUCAGGUUUUGUGAAAGUAGAAAGCUAAAUAGAGAAGAUGAUCUCAGAAUUGCCUCCCAAAAGAGAAGUCUGUGCUGAUUACUAUUAGACACCAAAGAAUCAACAUAAGAUAAGCUGUUAAUGCUCCCAUUGCAUGAAAAUGUUUUGAAAGAAAUAUUAAUGCUACUGUCUAAGAAGCUGAAAUCAAGUAUAUGAUAAAGCAUAUGUUCAUAAAGCCCACUUCCCGUUAUUUCAAAUAUUUCUAUAUUUUGUGUAUAAAUAGCAGAUAUAUCAAGGGACAGUUAUAUGAUUUAAUCAUCUCUGUCUUUAUUUCAAAAUGAUAUAGAGGCAGAAACGUGACUAUUUGCGGGUCCAAAUUUUGUCACUGGCACUGAGCAAAAAGUGGAAAAGCUGUCUAAUGAGUUUGAUUUCUGA
Molecule: long non-coding RNA, 1992 nt
Organism: Lagopus muta (rock ptarmigan)
Lineage: Eukaryota; Metazoa; Chordata; Aves; Galliformes; Phasianidae
Exons: 3
Source: RefSeq, a predicted model, not a curated record